Non-coding RNA from Callithrix jacchus (white-tufted-ear marmoset), 1435 nucleotides. Lineage: Eukaryota; Metazoa; Chordata; Mammalia; Primates; Cebidae. The record is from RefSeq and is a predicted model, not a curated record.
GUCCAGCCGGAAGUGGGGAGAGUCACCAUGGGAACCGUUGACGCUGAAACUAGCCACUUCCUCUUGGCACUAAGAAGCUGAAUCUGCGCGAUCCUCAGAUCAACCUCGGUCUCUCUGGCUGGACAAUUUCCUGGUUCUGCCCAGAAGGCAGACUAACGCCUUUCCUCUUGGAAAAGUCGCAGAUCUUUAUACACCUUCAGUUUAUACGUUUCUUUGUGCCUUAUAAUAGGCAUAAAGGUCUGGUUAUAUCUCAUCUUUCUCCAGGAGCUCUCCAGAAGCGCACAGCACUUAGGGAGACAGAGGCAGAAGGAUCUCUUGAGCCCGGGAGUUGCAGACCAGCCUGGAAAACAUGGUGAAGCCUGUCUCUACAAAAAUAUAAAAAUCAGCCGGGUGUGGUGAUGCGGCCUAUAGUUCCAGCUCCUGGAGGACUGAGGCGGGAGUAUUGCUUGAGCCCAGGAGAUGCAGGAUGCAGUGAGUGGUGAUUGCAUCACUGCACUCCUGCCUAGGCGGCAGAGCCAGACCAUCUCAAAAAAAGAAGAAAAAAAAAAGUUUGAAACGAGGCCAGCCACAUCACAUUUAUGAUUUUUGCAAAGGUGGUUUCAAGUCAGCCCCUAUGCCUUCUAAUCUCUGUGGGCCUUGAGUACUGAGACAGGAGGAAGAUGGCAAGUUCACAAGGGGGAGACCUUCUGAGGAGGCGGCAGCAUGUUUAUUGUUAUUUUUUCCCAGAGACCACUCUUCACACUACAACUGAAUAAAAUUUAUUGUCACCGUGUGUCAAAUUGUCCCCCACGUUGUGAUAUUACUUUGUCCCCCUGCUGUGUCCCCUGACUGACCCUUUCUUUAGGUUUAGGAAGAUAAAACAAAUGUUUGCAACUUCAGACUUCUUAUUCUAGGCUUCCAAGUUGGCUUUAUUUUUUUAAAAAACUUUUUAGGGCCGGGCACUGUGGCUCACAUCUGUAAUCCCAGCACUUUGGGAGGCCAAGGUGGUUGUAUCAAAAGGUCAAGAGAUAGAGACCAUACUGGCCAACAUGGUGAAACCUGUCUCUACUAAAAAUACAAAAAUUAGCCAGCGUGUUGGUGGAUGCCUGUAGUCCUAGCUACUCGGGAGGCUGAUGCAGGAGAAUUGCUUGAACCCAAGAGGCAGAGGUUGCAGUCAUCUUAAAACAAUUUUUUAAACUAUUUUUUAAAAACUAUAAUUGUUCUAACUUCUGCUGAUCUCAAGCAUACCAGAAAAUUCUGUGAAGACAAAGAGCCAAAAAAAAUCAUUUUUGUGUAAUUCUUUUGAAAUAAUUCAGAAUAGUUUUUAGUACUUUGAUAUUGGCAGUGUUUUUGUUUGUAUUUAAAAAAUGACUAUAAAACCUUUUUUGUUCUUACGCAUGUUAUUAGAUGUAAUUCAAUAUGAAUUUAUAAUAUGUGUAUUUAUUUUUGCUUAUUA